RNAcentral lists this ribosomal RNA (254 nucleotides) under uncultured bacterium. RNAcentral's name for it is "partial 16S ribosomal RNA". It matches the Rfam family "Bacterial small subunit ribosomal RNA", at positions 524 to 776 of the family's 1533-position model. The record is from RNAcentral.
UACGGGGGGAGCAAGCGUUGUUCGGAUUUACUGGGCGUAAAGGGCGCGUAGGCGGUCGUGACAAGUCACUUGUGAAAUCUCCGGGCUUAACUCGGAACGGUCAAGUGAUACUGUCAGGCUAGAGCACAGUAGAGGCAGGUGGAAUUCCCGGUGUAGCGGUGGAAUGCGUAGAGAUCGGGAAGAACAUCAGUGGCGAAGGCGGCCUGCUGGGCUGUUGCUGACGCUGAGGCGCGACAGCGUGGGGAGCAAACAGG